CUUGAAGUGUCCUCAGUCAGGAGAAGGCUCCAAUAACUUUAUGGUUGGUGGAUCUACACCUGCCCAAGCAAGCCCAGUGACACGCACUGCGGCUCAAGAUGCAUCGACCUGCACGCCACAAUGAUCACUCGAGGUUUGCAUCACGAAUGCCGUCGACGGUGGGCAUACAUGCUGCGGUGGACACUCAUUGCAUAUUGUAGGUUGAACUUGCUUUCGUUUCUGAACUCUUGUUGCAUAUGUAAUGUUGUUGUGAACCCUCCUUGAAUAUGUAUGCAUGCUUUUGUGAAACUAUAUUGGAUAUGUAUGAGUGUGUGGACUUUGAACUCAUCAUCGGUUUGUUCUUGUUGUGAACUUGUAAUAUAUUGGAUAUGUAUGCAUGACCGUUUCGGUUUUGAA
Hordeum vulgare subsp. vulgare (domesticated barley) is the source of this 396-nucleotide long non-coding RNA. RefSeq lists it as uncharacterized. The record is from RefSeq and is a predicted model, not a curated record. NCBI's taxonomy places the organism in Eukaryota, Viridiplantae, Streptophyta, Magnoliopsida, Poales, Poaceae. The transcript is spliced from 2 exons.